ACUGACCUUAGGGUCCCCUGGACGUAGCCUAUACAUUGUAGGUAAACCAUGUAAUUCUUUGUCUUCUUUAUUUUUCAUUUACAUUUGUGGGAAAUAUUUCCGCUAUUUUUCCCAACAAUUUUAAGUGGCCUUUCCGAGUGGAAAGUUUGACAAGCCUUCGAACUCUAAACUUUGUUAAGAUUGAUGAUUGUAUAGAAUUUAAUUCAUUAGAUUUAAUCAAUCUCUGCGAGCUCUAUGUGGUUUUUACAGAAAGGAACAGAUAUUCACGCUAGACUCUAUUGGUAGACUGGAAACUUUGGAUCUAUGGGUAGACUCUAAUUCUUUUCCACAACUGCAGCCACUUUUUCUCUGCCAAAGGCUCCUCCAAUUGAAGGAAGUUGGUGAAAUAAGGAAGCUACCAGCAAAUAUUGAUGAAAAUUGAAAUCCUAUCAAGACUUAAAUACCUCAGCAUAGAUGCAAAGGCUAUUCAGGAUGAUCCACUGCUAAUGUUGGGGAAGCUUUCAAAGUUGACAAUCUUGACUUGUGCAACUAUGGGGAAAAUAAGUUGGUUUGCACUGCAGGAGAAUUUCCGAAGCUCGAAAUUCUUCAACUUAUUGAUUGUAAACUGCAGGUGUUACAAGUGGAUGAAGGAGGAAUGUACGUGCUUAAGGGUUUAAAUGUUCCCGAUUAUGUUAGGAUCCCAAGCUCCGUCCCUGCUCCCAAAAAUUGGGGGUUCAUAACUUUUGGUGAGUGCCCUUUCUAACCAAAAAGAAUCAGGUUACUGGGAAGUAAAAGCUGCAGGUUAAUUUUCUUAACCUUUCCAUUUCUUUCGUAGUUGGGUUUUCGCUAAU
Molecule: long non-coding RNA, 830 nt
Filed under: Actinidia chinensis (golden kiwifruit)
Lineage: Eukaryota; Viridiplantae; Streptophyta; Magnoliopsida; Ericales; Actinidiaceae
Description: long non-coding RNA (ACHI_LNC002221)
Source: RNAcentral